This 488-nucleotide long non-coding RNA is filed under the name Mus pahari (shrew mouse). Its description in RNAcentral is "lncRNA (MGP_PahariEiJ_G0002700.1)". Lineage: Eukaryota; Metazoa; Chordata; Mammalia; Rodentia; Muridae. The record is from RNAcentral.
GGCAGGGCCCAGGGCGAGGAGGUUGAGGACAGAGGCGGCGGCGAACAGGCACCUGGCUGAACACUGGCACGCUCACCAUGCUACGGUCUUCCUGCAUGGUGAAGGGGUUCACGCAACCCAGACAUAGGCACCGCGCCUCGGUUAAACAGGAGUGAGAGAUAAGAGAAUUAGACCUGGGAACAUACAGCCUCAGACACCUUGCUUUGCCUGGGAGCUUCUUGGAAAUGAAUUGGAAACCUCCUGAAUGAGCCUACAGUUUUACAAUCUCGCUGACUGACACACGGGCACAGCCAAGUAGGAACAAGCUGUGUAGCCUGAAGAAUCCUUACUGACUCUGUCGUCGUAUUCCAGGGCUCCACCCCUUAACACAGUAGCCGCCAGCUACGUACGCCAACUUACAUUUCAGUCUAUAGUCCUUUAGUGUCAUUAGCCACGUGGUUCAGUCAUCACAUGGCUACCACAGUGGACUUUAUUAAAGGACGUUCUGG